UUGCUUUGGCAGCACACAUGCUGAAAUUGCAACGAUACAGAGAUUAGCCUGGCCCCUGUGCAAGGGUGACAUGCAAAUUCAUGCAGCAUCCCGUACUUUU
This 100-nucleotide small nuclear RNA is filed under the name Suricata suricatta (meerkat). The record is from RNAcentral. Lineage: Eukaryota; Metazoa; Chordata; Mammalia; Carnivora; Herpestidae.